UGGGGAAUCUUGCACAAUGGACGAAAGUCUGAUGCAGCAACGCCGCGUGGGGGAUGAAGCUUCUCGGAGUGUAAACCCCUUUCGACCCGGAAGAAUGCCCGCAAGGGUUUGACGGUACGGGUAUAAGAAGCCCCGGCUAACUACGUGCCAGCAGCCGCGGUAAUACGUAGGGGGCCAGCGUUGCUCGGAAUUACUGGGCGUAAAGGGUCCGUAGGCGGUGUGGCAAGUCGGGAGUGAAAUCUCUGGGCUUAACCCAGAGGCUGCUUCCGAAACUGCCGUGCUAGAGGAUGAGAGAGGCGAGUGGAAUUACGGGUGUAGCGGUGAAAUGCGUAGAUAUCCGUAGGAACAUCCGAGGCGAAGGCGGCUCGCUGGAUCAUUUCUGACGCUGAGGGACGAAAGCUAGGGGAGCAAACAGGAUUAGAUACCCUGGUAGUCCUAGCCCUAAACCAUCAGGACUUGGGGUUUGCCCUGUACGGGGCAAGCCCCGUAGCUAACGCGUUAAGUCCUGCGCCUGGGGAGUACGGUCGCAAGACUG
Molecule: ribosomal RNA, 535 nt
Filed under: uncultured bacterium
Lineage: Bacteria
Description: bacterial SSU rRNA
Rfam family: Bacterial small subunit ribosomal RNA
Source: RNAcentral